Molecule: ribosomal RNA, 468 nt
Filed under: uncultured bacterium
Lineage: Bacteria
Description: partial 16S ribosomal RNA
Rfam family: Bacterial small subunit ribosomal RNA
Source: RNAcentral
GACGAACGCUGGCGGCGUGCUUAACACAUGCAAGUCGAACGGAAGGGCCCUGCUUUUGUGGGGUGCUCGAGUGGCGAACGGGUGAGUAACACGUGAGUAACCUGCCCUUGACUUUGGGAUAACUUCAGGAAACUGGGGCUAAUACCGGAUAGGAGCUCCUGCUGCAUGGUGGGGGUUGGAAAGUGUCGGCGGUUGGGGAUGGACUCGCGGCUUAUCAGCUUGUUGGUGGGGUAGUGGCUUACCAAGGCUUUGACGGGUAGCCGGCCUGAGAGGGUGACCGGCCACAUUGGGACUGAGAGACGGCCCAGACUCCUACGGGAGGCAGCAGUGGGGAAUAUUGCACAAUGGGCGGAAGCCUGAUGCAGCAACGCCGCGUGCGGGAUGACGGCCUUCGGGUUGUAAACCGCUUUCGCCUGUGACGAAGCGUGAGUGACGGUAAUGGGUAAAGAAGCACCGGCUAACUACGUG